Molecule: ribosomal RNA, 226 nt
Filed under: uncultured bacterium
Lineage: Bacteria
Description: partial 16S ribosomal RNA
Rfam family: Bacterial small subunit ribosomal RNA
Source: RNAcentral
AAAAACGACCAUCCCAGUUCGGAUUGCAGUCUGAAACUCGAGUGCAUGAAGCUGGAAUCGCUAGUAAUCGCAAAUCAGAAUGUUGCGGUGAAUACGUUCCCGGGUCUUGUACACACCGCCCGUCACACCAUGGGAGCUGGUAACACCCGAAGUCAGUAGUCUAACCGCAAGGAGGACGCUGCCGAAGGUGGGAUUAGCGACUGGGGUGAAGUCGUAACAAGGUACC